RNAcentral lists this long non-coding RNA (493 nucleotides) under Oryza sativa Indica Group (long-grained rice). Its description in RNAcentral is "lncRNA OsZS97_08G014260". The record is from RNAcentral. Lineage: Eukaryota; Viridiplantae; Streptophyta; Magnoliopsida; Poales; Poaceae.
AUGCGGAUGCGGCUGUUUCUUCUAGCACGAGAUUCUACAACUCCGGCAAUGACUGCUGUGACGCAGCGCUCUGCUCAGCUGCAUCAGAACUUGACGCGGUGGCAAUUUUUCUGCCGAAGAAUCCCCAAGAGUUCGGCAUCACCGUGCCACGCCGCCACACUCCUGAUGGAGAUGCAGAGUCAAGCCCUCCUCUUCUACCUUCAAUCUCCUGAUGGAGAGGUCGCGCAGGGAGGAAUCGGCUUGGAGCUCACCGGAGAAGGAAUAAUCAGCGGCGGAGGCGGAAUACCGGCUCCAGGGAAGAAGGUUGCGAUCUCCAUGCUCAUUGCACCAUUGAUUCGGUUUCUUGAGGGGAAAUGGAGAGGUUAUCGAGGGAAAGUCGGUGGCACGAUGGCUCGGACAAUCGUUCCCCACGACAGCUGGCGCAACAAUGGAAAUGUAGCGGUGCUGAACAGUGCGCGCUCGAGAACAUCCGGGCACCCAUAGGGGCAAUUUG